RNAcentral lists this ribosomal RNA (442 nucleotides) under uncultured bacterium. RNAcentral's name for it is "partial 16S ribosomal RNA". It matches the Rfam family "Bacterial small subunit ribosomal RNA", at positions 339 to 795 of the family's 1533-position model. The record is from RNAcentral.
CUACGGGUGGCAGCAGUGGGGAAUAUUGCACAAUGGGGGAAACCCUGAUGCAGCGACGCCGCGUGAAGGAUGAAGGUCUUCGGAUCGUAAACUUCUAUCAGCAGGGAAGAAACAAAUGACGGUACCUGACUAAGAAGCUCCGGCUAACUACGUGCCAGCAGCCGCGGUAAUACGUAGGGAGCGAGCGUUAUCCGGAUUUACUGGGUGUAAAGGGUGCGUAGGCGGCCUGGUAAGUUAGAAGUGAAAUUUUGGGGCUCAACCCCAGAGCUGCUUCUAACACUGCUGGGCUAGAGUGCAGGAGAGGAAAGCGGAACUCCACGUGUAGCGGUGAAAUGCGUAGAGAUGUGGAGGAACACCAGUAGCGAAGGCGGCUUUCUGGACUGUAACUGACGCUGAGGCACGAAAGCGUGGGGAGCAAACAGGAUUAGAUACCCGCGUAGUC